GAGACACCCUUAUGGUGCAGGACUUGCUUCAGUGGGGCUUUGUUGCUCGCUGAGUCUGCCCCGCUGAGUGUGUCUCU
RNAcentral lists this microRNA precursor (77 nucleotides) under Myotis brandtii (Brandt's bat). RNAcentral's name for it is "mir-9229 microRNA precursor family". It matches the Rfam family "mir-9229 microRNA precursor family". Lineage: Eukaryota; Metazoa; Chordata; Mammalia; Chiroptera; Vespertilionidae. The record is from Rfam by way of RNAcentral.